RNAcentral lists this unclassified non-coding RNA (186 nucleotides) under Spiroplasma endosymbiont of Tetranychus truncatus. RNAcentral's name for it is "16S-23S ribosomal RNA intergenic spacer". Lineage: Bacteria; Bacillati; Mycoplasmatota; Mollicutes; Entomoplasmatales; Spiroplasmataceae. The record is from RNAcentral.
UUUGGUUUCUAAUAAGAAACCAAGACAACAAGAAAAAUUAGAUGGAUGAUUUAUUGGAUUACUUUUUUUGUUCUGUUUAGUUUUCAGGGAUUGUUUUCUCUGAGCAAUUGUUCUUUAAAAACUAGAUAAUAGACAUCUUUUAAAAAAAAUAAGAUAAUUUUUAUCUUGCAAUAGGAUAUUCUAAAA